RNAcentral lists this unclassified non-coding RNA (958 nucleotides) under Hevea brasiliensis (rubber tree). Lineage: Eukaryota; Viridiplantae; Streptophyta; Magnoliopsida; Malpighiales; Euphorbiaceae. The record is from RNAcentral.
AGCAGAUCAAACCCUAAAAACAAUUUUUUAUCCUAGCUACAAUGUCAAUCUCUCCCAAUUUCUCACAAUCUAUAGGCGGUAAAAUGCACUCUGAACACAUUCCCUUCCAACCAUUGCCAUAAAGAGUACAUUAUUUUGCUAAAAAAUAAAAAGUAGAUACUUCACAUAACGGAAACAUAACUACUGUAAUCCAUCAUUAUUUAUGGCAAAAAAAAUGGUAAAGAUUAAAAUGCCCAUGCCAUUCAAAAAGCAUCGUCAUCAACCAAAAACUUUUAAGAUCUUAAACAUAUAUAUCCUUAACAAAUCUAAUAGGUCCAACUUAAAGAGUGAAAUUUCAAAAUAUUCCUUCGAAAAUUCCAGUAGUAACUUAAUAAGAAAACAUGAAACAGAAUAAAUUCAAUUCUUAGGUUCUGGCAGCAGUUCCAACUCCUGCAGAACGAAUUCCUUGACCAGGCUGUCCAGGCUGUCCAGGCUUAGGCAAAUCAUCCCUGCGCCUGAGGAAGCGCUGUGGUGGCUCACGUUUCCUGCGCUCAGAGCGCGAGCGAACCCUCACAACCCUGGAGUGAAUGGCACAUGAAACGCAGUACUGCAUCUUCACAUACAGUUUGGGAAGUACAUAUCCAUCGUAAACGCAGGAAUCCUGAACGUCUCUCACAGCAGCUUGCUCGACGAUGUUUCUCACAAGAAACCUCUUGAUAGCUUUGUCCUUAGGGCAGCAUUUGCCGCAGUUGGAGCAGCGGAUGAACUUGACGUGUCCUCGGCCAUGCUUGUUGCGGCCGCCGUUCCUACGCUUGAAUGUCUGCGAAAAGGGGAAAAUAUUUGUCAGGAAGUUUGUGAAAGAUUGAGAUAGAGGAGGAAUGGAAGAGAAGAAGAGGCUGAUCUAGCUCACCAUGGCGGCUGGUGGUGGAGUUUUCCUGGAGAGAAGUGUGGGAUCUAAAAGCCGCCGCUAGGGUUUUUC